GAAAAUAACAUGACACAAUAAUAAAUGUGAAGGUAGUUUUAUACUCUAAAGUACAUGAUUUUAUGGUUAUAUCAUUGUCCAAUACAAAAAAGAAUGACUCCAGGACAGAGGCUGGUAAGGAAACAAGGACCAAUUCUACAAGCACAUAGAACCGAAUCUUGCCAACAGCUUGAACGAUCCUGGGGGAAAGAUUUUCCUCUACAGCUCCAGGGAAGCAAAAAUAAAAAACUUGUUGAUCCCUUGCUUUCAGCCUUAUGAGAACUUUAGCAGGGAUCCAUGCUGUGUUACACUUCUGACACAUAAAAACUGUGAGCUAACAUGUGGGUAUUAUUUUAGGUAAUUAAAUUUGUGAUCAUUUGUUAAAACAAUGAUAAAAAAUCAGGUUUCUACAGAAGAAAAAUGACUUAGAGAAAUGAAAUAAUUCUUUUCAUAAUCUAUAUUAAGCAGAGUCUCAUACAUACUGACUACUUUUGAGUGAUAAUAAGAAAGAUUUGAUUUAAGGAAAUGAAGAGUAUUAUAUGGACAAUUUGCAUUUACAGGGUCUACUAUAUAAUCCUAACAGUCUCUGUAUGAGAUCCAUAUGAGUCAUAAACCUGCCUACACCAAUAUUUAAAGAGCGCCAUGAUGAUGGAGUAGAAAGAAAUUAGGAUUUGGACUUGAAAUCUCUCAUAAGAUCUAGUCCAGGCAGUAUCUAAUCCAAUCACUGGUCAAGGAACUUUUGGUAUCUCAUCACCUCUAAACCUGAAUUUCCACAUCUUUGAUACAGGUAUGCAUCAUAUAGCUACAUUGGUUUAAGUGAGAUAAUUUAAAAUUAUUUGAAAAUUGAACAUACAUAAACUCUCAUCAUGCCAGGGUACAUUACCUGGUGAUUCUCAGAAAGUGACUAAAAUAAUUGCUGGUGGUCAGAUUCAUUUAGACUGUUAAUUUACUAAGACUGAUUCAUAAUAACUUCUUUUAAUGCUAAUCUACUUUCAGAUUAUGAAUUAAAUAUAUUCUGAGAUGGUUCAUUGUUUGUAGUUUAGAAAGAGAAAAGGAAUGGAGGAAUGAGGGGAUGCAGAAUGACUUUAUGGUAAUCCCAAAAUUCCCAAUCAGUAAAAGGGACACUAAGGAAAGCAACUUAAAAAAAAAAACUCCGUGUUCUUGUUAGGGGUUAUAUUGUGUCCCCCCAAAAUGGAAGGUUUAACUCCCACUGCCUCAAGAUGUGACCCAUUUGGAAAGAGGGGCACUGGAGUUCCCCUUGUGACUCAGCAGGUUAAGAACUCAACUAGUACCCAUGAGGAUGUGGGUUCAAUCCCUGGCCUCACUCAGUGGGUUAAGGAUCUGGCAUAGCUGCAAGCUAUGGCAAAGGUCAUGGAUCAUCUCAGAUCUGGUGUUAUCAUGGCUGUGGUGAAGGCUGUUGAGAGAAAGGCUUGGAGUAGAUUCUCACUCACGGCUCUUAGAAGAAACUGACCUUGCAGAAACCCUGAUCUCAGACUUCCAGCUUCAGAGCUGUGAAACAAAUAUUACUGCUGUUUACAUCACUCAUGUCAUGGUACUUUGUUAAAACAGUCUGAGAAAAGUAAUGCACGCCUACAUUCAAGAGAAGAUACACAAGCAACUAUCACAAUUAUAAUUACCCAGCAAAGGUUAUGAACCACUUAAAGAACUUUCAAAUACCUUAAGUGCAUUUAAUUAUUUAAAAAAAAAAAAACAAAACUCUUGAGCCAUAAAGAGGGUGGGAAUUGUUAUUGUUUUAUUUUAUAAGACAUGAGUAGAUAUAAGAUAGUUUAAGACGCAGACUUAAAACCAAAGAGAUAAUUGAGGAGAAGAUCAAAUCUGAAACUUUGAAUACACACCUCCUUUCUCUAUGCCAUUUGAUUGAAUUUCACUUGGCUCAGUUCUUUGUACCUACUCCUAAACUUAGGAGAAACUAUCAAACAAAAAUGCCCUUAGACUGUAUGUUUAAGAUAUGGAGAAAAAUCCCAGUAAAUUUGUCUGCAAGGGGGAGUAGGGAGCAGAGCCCUGAAGGAAGGUCACAGCUGUCUAGUGAGGCCAUUUUCACAAGCCCAUCGUCUUGAUCAGUUUGUCAAAGCAAAAGUGCUUGAGCUGUUCAAGUACAGUUCAGCAGAGCAUCUGUCACAGACUUCAUCUUUGUCUGGUUCUGUUUUAUUAGAUUACUGUCCAGCAGCUGUUCUUUGACCAAAGAGGAACUCCAAGGUAUUUUAAAUUCCCAGUCAAGUUCCUCUGAGAAAUACUCAAAAUCCAGGUGCCAUUUUGCCCAUGAACAAAAUUACUUCUGCAGGAAUAAAAUAUUCAAUGCUUAAGCUUUUGGUUAAAGUUUACCUGCAAUGCACACAGCACUACUUGUGUGGUGAAAGUUUUAAUCUUACGAAGUUUGCAGCCUAUCUGAAGAGUAAACUAUUAUUAGCGAUAGAAGCAAUGGAUUUGGAAUCCCUGAAGAAAACAUCAAACUAGGUGUAUUGUUCAUGCUGAAUAAGAAUGAAAUAAUUCUCUUUCUUGUUUGUUUCCUUCCCCUUGUAUUACUCCAAUUGUCUCUAUCCCUCAACCCACUUGAGAAAAAUAGAAAAAAAAAAAAAAAACAGAAUAUCAGAAACCUUUUACAGAAGAAAAAGAAGUUCUAAGUUGUGAAAUCAUUUACACAUGAAAGCAUAUUCAAGUGGAAACUAUCUUUUGUUAUCUUAACUUCUGGAGUGAUACUCCAAAAUAGCCACUGUGCUACAUUAUCCACAAAUAUCUGAGAGAUUUCUGAAUGUCAGCAGGGAACAGUUUAUCGAUCUGACUCAGAAGAAAUAUGGUGCACUAAAACAGACAUUAUAUGAGAAGUCAGGAGACCCAAUUUCUGUAUCUGGCUCUACUACCUAUGAGCUCUUUGACCUUGAGAGGUCUUUUGGGAACUAGACCCCCCCCAAUGCCCCAUUUGAGUAAUGAGCUAUAUAAUCUUUGAGGUCCAUUUCUAAUCUAUAAUGAUGAGAUCCAAAUAAUGUAAAUGACUCUCUAAAACCUAUUGAGAAGUAAUUCUUGAUUGCAAUUUUGGCAAAUUUGGGAAAUAACUCUAAGCACAGCCUAAUGGAAGUGGGAAUAGUGAGAGCAUUUUUAUCUCAAUAUUUGGUAUCUAUCUUAAAGUUGGAAAGAAGCAAAAAUUAAAAUGAAAUCAUUACUUAUCAUGUGCUAUGUUCUAUUUCAGUUUCUCCACACACUAACCUUUAUCCUACACCAAUCCUUUAAGAGAACUAUAAGAAUGCUUCCCCAAAAGGGAUAAUUUUAAACCAGGGGAGGGAAAAAGGAAGGUGGUAUAUAUACAUACAUACAUAUAUAUAUAUGUAUGUAUAUAUACACAUACACAUACACACAGUCAGAAACUGAAAACUAGAGCACAGGUUUAGUGUUUCUCCUAUUAUAAACAGCAUAAUCAAAAUUAUUUCAUAGUAGUUACUGAAAAACAUGGAAUAAAAGCCUUCGCAAAUUUAGUUUCCUUGAUUAUAGGUACAAAAUGUCACCAAAUACUUCAUUUUUCUUUUUUUUUUUUCUUUUCUUUUUAGGUCACCCCCACUGUGACCUAUGCUACAGCUGCAGUAUCGCCAGAUCCUUAACCGACUGUGCCAGGGCCAGGAAUUGAACCAGUACCUCCAUAGAGAUAAGCUGGAUCAUUAACUCAUUAUGCUACAGCUCAAUAUUCUUAUUUUUAAAAUAAUAAUAGGCAUGAGUUUUGUACCAUCAUUCAAAUACAGUCAUGUCCAAAAUAUUUUAUAUCUUGGAAAUAUGUUAAUAAAUCUACAUUUUAUAUCUAUUUAUUUGAUUCAUUGAACUAGCAGUUAGAAGCUAGACUUUAUUACCUACUUCUCUACUUAUCUACAGAAACACAAACAUGCAUCAGGUGGCAGGGGAAGGUUUGACAGCAAACUCAUGACUCUAAAACCUUGUAAUAAAUUUUAAGGAAAAAAGAUGGUAUGAAAAAAUUGAGAAAUUUAAAAAAUAAUAUAGGAACAAUCUUCUGGUUUCUACAGUAGAAAAAUUGAAAAUUUUAAAAAGUAUUAUUUCAUGAUGGUUUUUAUCAGGAACAUUCUAUAAGGAAAAUAGGUCUUGAAGGAGAAAGGUUCUACUUUACUAAAGGCAGAACACCUGGUAAUGCUAACAGUACUGACUUUCAACCUAUAGAAAUUAGUUAUAAAAAUACUUCCUGGGAAAAUCCAACCCCAUAAUUAGUCUCAGUUUGUCUGCCCACAUUAAAUUAUACUAUAUGAUGUACACAGUUACCUUGCUGCUUGAUAUAUUUCAUAACUAAUAAAAUCACUCACAUCUAUUGAUUUCAUUUGAAGAAAAAUGGGGAGGUUACUCUUUAUAAGUAGAUUUCCACCACAGCAUGAUUAUGCGGUGAGCUGGUAAUGACAGAAACCAUUUGAUUUUUACUCUUCAUUAAAAAUAAAUAUACAUUUAAAUAAGAUUCAUGGUUACUCUGCUCAGAAUCCAUAUACCAGAUCAAGUCUAUUAUUACCCCAAAGUAGAAUUAAUUGCAGGGAUUUUUUGUAAAAAGGAUAAGCUCCCCUGACAUAAUAGGUAAGUACAGUAAUAGAGUUAUUGAAAAUUUACCAUUUAUAUUU
RNAcentral lists this long non-coding RNA (4598 nucleotides) under Sus scrofa (pig). Its description in RNAcentral is "lncRNA (ENSSSCG00030070337.1)". Lineage: Eukaryota; Metazoa; Chordata; Mammalia; Artiodactyla; Suidae. The record is from RNAcentral.